This 1244-nucleotide long non-coding RNA is filed under the name Coturnix japonica (Japanese quail). Its description in RNAcentral is "lncRNA (ENSCJPG00005013286.1)". The record is from RNAcentral. Lineage: Eukaryota; Metazoa; Chordata; Aves; Galliformes; Phasianidae.
GAUGCAGGGUCAGGCUACUGGGCCAGACAUGUAGCUGGGCUGACCUGGUCUGGCAAUUCCUUUGUUACUGUACUGUAUCUUUUUGAUAUGAAGAGACUGGUAAGACUGACACAUUAUUUGUUCUCCAAGGCAAAAGCUAUCUCUUUCUUAGGAAGCUGCUACUCCUCCCUUUGGUUCCUUUUCCAUGCUCUGGAGGCCAGCAACCUCUCCAGAAAUAGAGGUGUCAGAUUUAAUUGACAAGUUAGAAGGGAUGGUAUGUUUCUUGUGGAACUCGAGUUUUUGCACAGGGUUUCUGAUAUGUUUUAAAUCCUUCUCAUUAUGCAUAAGUAUCUAAUGUAAGUUCAUUUUUUUUGCCAUCUGUGUGCUACAGAUUGUGAUAUCUGUAAAUUGUUAUGGUUCUUGAUGUCUUCAUAGCAGGUUUAGUACUCAAGAAUAAAUCAUUCAAAGCAUAUGUUUUGAUUACAGAAAUUAGUUGAUUAAAUGUUGCACAUUUUAUGAAUCCCGAGAAAAUUUAUUCUACAUUAUGAUCUAAUAUUUAAAAAUGUAAUUCUAGGAUACAACUUAGAAAUGAAUACUUUUCAUUUUGCAAGGAGAAGGAUUCCUGUUACCGAACAGAAAAUUUGAUUCAGGUUCAGCUAUUGAUCAUUGAGUGUGCAAGUGAUAAGCAGUGUUCCUGCAGACUGAUAAUUGGGAGCACAUCUGAAAGGAAAUGCAGAAAUGGCUGUUGGCCUGUGGUAAGAAAUGCAUUUUGAAGUGAUGGAAGAUUCCCUUAUAAAUACUGAUAUGGACUGCACUUUAAGGAAUGUGUGCUCCCAAAAGAAAAUUCAGAAGUUUUUGACACAAGAGUCUGUGUUGAACUGUUUGCUACCUACAACCAGAAGGGGCAGCCUGAAGACAGUCUGGGGCCAUAGGAUAUAUGUAUUCUGCAAAGUAGAGGGAAGAAUUUGUAGGAAGCCACUCUUCCCCAGUUCUUCCACAUAGACUCUUAGCAGGCUGGAUUUUUUUUUACAAUGAAGUCAUCUAUAUGGCUGUUCUUUCUGUUUGUGCUAUCAUACAUGGCUUGCAGAUUGUGAAGAUAGAGACAUGGGAACAGGCUAAUACGAAUGCCUGGGAAUAGAAGAUAAUACAGAUUUUACCUUUCUCAAUGCUAAUUCUCUGGCUCUGCAUCUUGGCAGAUCCAUAAAAGGUUGUAUUUUAAGACUUCUGAGUCUAAAAUAAAGGUGUUGAAGAACAGUGUUUUAACA